GACAAGUGAGGUUCUAAACUACACCUCUGCCAUGCCUGUACUGACCUUUGGACCAGGGAGCCCCAUGGGGCCAGCAACUCCCAUUUCACCCUAAAAGAAGAAAGACAACAAAAAAAAUAGUCACCAAACAUCCUGUGUGCCCAGCAGGCAACAUGCCAGGUGUCAGGAACACAACACAAUCAGUGCACAAAAGUAUGAACAGAAUAGAAGGCACAGAACAUGAGUAUCCAUUGAGUGAAUGAAAUAGUAUUUCCUUGUUCCAUCUCUGCAAGACAGGAAUCUCAAAUCUCAAGACAGACUUCAUCUCUCCAUGGUUCUGUGGUAUUUCAUCCCAUUACUCAUUUUGACAGAAGGAGGGGAAGAUGCACACAUGGCAGACAGGACACAGACAGCUCUGCAAAUGCCAUGAAGGAAGAGAUCCCAGACUGAGGGGGCGGUGCAGGCUCACCCACAAGAAUGUAAUGUCAGGUGCCCAGUCCCACUGCACCAGACCCUGAGAAAAUGGAGAAGCAAGACCUGUGCAAUUGGAGAUGGAGUUGGAUGGGAAUGCAAUGGACUUCUCCAGAAAAGUGGCCUCUGGAGAAGAAUCCCAACUCCUCCAUUCAGCCUUCCACACUUACAAAAUCAAGCCUCUCAGCAGUUAGUUUGAAAAUGUCUCAAUGUCUCUGCAUCUCAGUAUGACCAGGGAUGUUAUGGAAAAAUCAUUCAGCAGGACUAAUUGAUCAGGACAGGCUUGGAACAGAAGCCAGCUGAGCAUAUGGUUAAAAGCACAGAUGUGGGAACCUGAAUGACUGGGUUCAAAUCUCAACCCCUGCUCUUAUUACCUGUCAAAAGAUUUCUCUUUCCUCACCGGACUGUGUGCUGGUGGAGAGCUGUCCUACCUUCAUGGGAACUGAAAGCUGAAACACAUCAGAGCUAAGAAAACCAAGACUCAGAAAGAUAAAGUAACCCAUCCCAGGACCCACACGAAUGAAGGAGUAGACACGAGACCUGAACCCAGGUCUAUGUGACCCUGAGCCAGUGCCCUCCACUGCAUCACGAAGCUGGGUCACUCAUGCUGCCAAUAUAGGUGUCACAGGACAGCAGAGUUGGUGUCCAUGUCCUUGGCUAGACCAAGUGUCUUGGAGGACAGGAACUCAGUCUUCUUUACCCCCAUCAGAAGGCCUGGUACUACAUUAUCAUUAGGACAAGAAGCUAGACCUCUUGGGUCUCAUGACAUCCCCCCUGCAGGUCCUCUGAGCCUCCAUACGCCAGGCUCUCUAUCUCUCUAGGCCCAGGGAUAAGAGCCCUGGAGAAAACAUGGUGGGUGGUGCCAUCCACUGUGAGAGGGGAACAGAAAGCUCAGGACCACUGAGAUAAGGCAUCUGCUGCCCUUACCUGUGGGAUGCUGUACUGGUCGAUGACCUGCCAGAUAUACCAGUCUUCCUUCCGAGAGGUUUUCCUGAACCGGAAGGUUGUGACAAAGGCGUACUCAUCAGGUAAACCUUGGGGGAACACAUCCCUGGAGAAAAAUGGAGACAAAGACACCAGGCUUGGCGAUGAGAGCAGGGAGCCAGCAAAGUGAGCCCACACAACCCAGCAGUGAUCAAGCCCUGCCAAUUUGACUUCCUAAAUAUUUCCACCAUCCACCUUCUUGGCCUGCCUUCACUGCCUUCUCCUUAGGUCAGGGCCUCAAUGUGGCCUAGACCAUCGUCAUGACCCCCGAGGCUCCAACAUCAGCACCUUCAAAUCCAUCCCUAUGGUGCGUCUGCUUCCAUCUCUCCACCACCACCAUGACUCUGAUGACAUCCACAGUAAACGCUAAAUGGUCACGCCCCCGGGAUCAAAUAUGGAGAGACACCCAGCUUCGCUGCUCCCUGCUGCAUCCUCCUCAGCCAGGACAAAUGGAUAUACCUUAUCCUGCUUGGUGCCCUGUCCCAGAUGCCAGGAUGCCAUGGUCUGAAUGUUGCUGUCUUCCUAAAUCCAUAUGUUGAAAUCUUCACACCAAGGGAGACUCCAAAGAGGGAGGGGAGGCUUCAGGACUCCUCUGGCUGUGGACUGACACAGGAGGGCCCAUAAUAGAGGGUCCCGGUCACCAAACAGACUCUUUGAAAGGAUCCUCCACAUAUGUCGUAGACUAAGAAAUCUGUUCAAAGUCCUGCAUUUUCAUGUGUAAGUGGAACAUUCUAGACUUCUGAA
RNAcentral lists this long non-coding RNA (2178 nucleotides) under Homo sapiens (human). RNAcentral's name for it is "HSALNT0144750". The record is from RNAcentral. Lineage: Eukaryota; Metazoa; Chordata; Mammalia; Primates; Hominidae.